RNAcentral lists this transfer RNA (69 nucleotides) under Bos taurus (domestic cattle). It matches the Rfam family "tRNA". Rfam says of the family: Transfer RNA (tRNA) molecules are approximately 80 nucleotides in length. Their secondary structure includes four short double-helical elements and three loops (D, anti-codon, and T loops). Further hydrogen bonds mediate the characteristic L-shaped molecular structure. tRNAs have two regions of fundamental functional importance: the anti-codon, which is responsible for specific mRNA codon recognition, and the 3' end, to which the tRNAs corresponding amino acid is attached (by aminoacyl-tRNA synthetases). tRNAs cope with the degeneracy of the genetic code in two manners: having more than one tRNA (with a specific anti-codon) for a particular amino acid; and 'wobble' base-pairing, i.e. permitting non-standard base-pairing at the 3rd anti-codon position. RNAcentral also lists the same sequence under 3 other names. The record is from Rfam by way of RNAcentral. Lineage: Eukaryota; Metazoa; Chordata; Mammalia; Artiodactyla; Bovidae.
CCUGGUGGCUCAGAUGGUAAAGCAUCUGCCUGCAAUGCAGGAGACGCAGGUUCGAUCCCUGGGUCAGGA